AACGAACGCUGGCGGCAUGCCUAACACAUGCAAGUCGAACGAGACCUUCGGGUCUAGUGGCGCACGGGUGCGUAACGCGUGGGAACCUGCCCUUAGGUUCGGAAUAACUCCCCGAAAGGGGUGCUAAUACCGGAUAAUGUCUUCGGACCAAAGAUUUAUCGCCUUUGGAUGGGCCCGCGUUGGAUUAGCUAGUUGGUAGGGUAAAAGCCUACCAAGGCGACGAUCCAUAGCUGGUCUGAGAGGAUGAUCAGCCACACUGGGACUGAGACACGGCCCAGACUCGUACGGGAGGAAGCAGUGGGGAAUAUUGGACAAUGGGCGAAAGCCUGAUCCAGCAAUGCCGCGUGAGUGAUGAAGGCCUUAGGGUUGUAAAGCUCUUUUAACCGGGAUGAUAAUGACAGUACCGGGAGAAUAAGCGCCGGCUAACUACGUG
RNAcentral lists this ribosomal RNA (433 nucleotides) under uncultured bacterium. RNAcentral describes it as "partial 16S ribosomal RNA". It matches the Rfam family "Bacterial small subunit ribosomal RNA", at positions 29 to 507 of the family's 1533-position model. The record is from RNAcentral.